CCUACGGGCGGCAGCAGUGAGGAAUAUUGGUCAAUGGCCGGAAGGCUGAACCAGCCAAGCCGCGUGAGGGAGGAAGGCGCAGAGCGUCGCAGACCUCUUUUGCAGGGGGACAAAAGGCCGGACUCGUCCGGUCCUGCGGGUACCCGGAGAAAAAGCAUCGGCUAACUCCGUGCCAGCAGCCGCGGUAAUACGGAGGAUGCGAGGGUUGUCCGGAUUCAUUGGGUUUAAAGGAGGCGCAGGCGGGCCUUUAAGCCGGCGGUGAAAUCGCGGGGCGCAACCCCGCCGGGCCGUCGGAACUGGGGGCCUUGAGUGCGGCGUGGGCAUGCGGAAUGCGCGGUGUAGCGGUGGAAUGCAUGGAUAUCGCGCAGGACCCCGAGUGCGGAGGCAGCGUGCCGUGCCGCCACUGACGCUGAGGCACGAAAGCGCGGGGAUCGAACAAGAUUCGAUCCCCCGGGUAGUC
Molecule: ribosomal RNA, 460 nt
Filed under: uncultured bacterium
Lineage: Bacteria
Description: partial 16S ribosomal RNA
Rfam family: Bacterial small subunit ribosomal RNA
Source: RNAcentral